Molecule: ribosomal RNA, 463 nt
Filed under: uncultured bacterium
Lineage: Bacteria
Description: partial 16S ribosomal RNA
Rfam family: Bacterial small subunit ribosomal RNA
Source: RNAcentral
GAUGAACGCUGACAGAAUGCUUAACACAUGCAAGUCGAUGGGGAAGUGGUGCUUGCACCAUGGUAACCAUGGCGGACGGGUGAGUAACGCGUAAGGAACUUACCUGCGGGACCGGGAUAACAGCAGGAAACUGCUGACAAGACCGGAUAAGGUCAUUAAGCUGCAUAGCUUAGUGAUGAAAGGAGACGCCUGCGGAGAGCCUUGCGUCCUAUUAGCUAGUUGGAGGGGUAACGGCCCACCAAGGCGAAGAUAGGUAGCCGGCCUGAGAGGGUGGACGGCCACAAGGGGACUGAGAUACGGCCCUUACUCCUACGGGAGGAGGCAGUGGGGAAUAUUGGACGAUGGGGGCAACCCUGAUCCAGCAAUUCUGUGUGCACGAAGACGGUUUUCGGAUUGUAAAGUGCUUUCAGCAGGGAAGAAGGGAGUGACGGUACCUGCAGAAGAAGCGACGGCUAAAUACGUG